AGCGAAUAGAUACCCAGGUAGUCCACGCCGUAAACGAUGCACACUAGCUAUCAGAAAGCAUCGACCCUUCUUGUAGCGAAGCUAACGCGUUAAGUGUGCCGCCUGUGGAGUACGGUCGCAAGACUAAAACAUAAAGGAAUUGACGGGGGAUCGCACAAGCGGUGGAGCAUGUGGUUUAAUUCGACGAUAAACGGAGAACCUUACCAAGGUUUGACAUCUUCCGAAAGCCCUGGAAACAGGGCCGUGCCCGCAAGGGAACGGAAUGACAGGUGUUGCACGGCCGCCGUCAGCUCGUGGCGUGAGCUGUGCCCUUAAGUGGGUAAACGAGCGAAACCCUCAUCGUCUGUUGGAUUUUUCAGACGAGACUGCCCGAUUUCUCGGGAGGAAGGUGAGGACGACGUCAGGUCAGCGUGGCCCUUACGCCUUGGGCUACACACAUGCUACAAUGGCACAGACAAA
This 459-nucleotide ribosomal RNA is filed under the name uncultured bacterium. Its description in RNAcentral is "bacterial SSU rRNA". It matches the Rfam family "Bacterial small subunit ribosomal RNA", at positions 771 to 1243 of the family's 1533-position model. The record is from RNAcentral.